Molecule: ribosomal RNA, 253 nt
Filed under: uncultured bacterium
Lineage: Bacteria
Description: partial 16S ribosomal RNA
Rfam family: Bacterial small subunit ribosomal RNA
Source: RNAcentral
UACGGGGGGGGCAAGCGUUGUUCGGAAUUACUGGGCGUAAAGGGCGCGUAGGCGGCCUACUAAGUCGGACGUGAAAUCCCUCGGCUCAACCGAGGAACUGCGUCCGAUACUGGCAGGCUGGAAUCCGGGAGAGGGAUGUGGAAUUCCAGGUGUAGCGGUGAAAUGCGUAGAUAUCUGGAGGAACACCGGUGGCGAAGGCGGCAUCCUGGACCGGUAUUGACGCUGAGGCGCGAAAGCUAGGGGAGCGAACAGG